AGGAAUCGUGUGCCCAACCAUGGCAAAUAC
Molecule: small RNA, 30 nt
Filed under: Bombyx mori (domestic silkworm)
Lineage: Eukaryota; Metazoa; Arthropoda; Insecta; Lepidoptera; Bombycidae
Description: ovarian small RNA-4555
Source: RNAcentral